GUGGGGGAUAUUGCACAAUGGGCGAAAGCCUGAUGCAGCAACGCCGCGUGAGGGAAGACGGUUUUCGGAUUGUAAACCUCUGUCUUUGGUGAAGAAGGAAGUGACGGUAGCCAAGGAGGAAGCCACGGCUAACUACGUGCCAGCAGCCGCGGUAAUACGUAGGUGGCAAGCGUUGUCCGGAAUUACUGGGUGUAAAGGGAGCGCAGGCGGGACAGCAAGUUGGAUGUGAAAUACCGCAGCUCAACUGCGGAGCUGCAUCCAAAACUGUUGUUCUUGAGUGGAGUAGAGGUAGGCGGAAUUCCGAGUGUAGCGGUGAAAUGCGUAGAUAUUCGGAGGAACACCAGUGGCGAAGGCGGCCUACUGGGCUCUUACUGACGCUGAGGCUCGAAAGUGUGGGGAGCAAACAGG
RNAcentral lists this ribosomal RNA (408 nucleotides) under uncultured rumen bacterium. RNAcentral's name for it is "bacterial SSU rRNA". It matches the Rfam family "Bacterial small subunit ribosomal RNA", at positions 354 to 776 of the family's 1533-position model. The record is from RNAcentral.